Molecule: ribosomal RNA, 407 nt
Filed under: uncultured bacterium
Lineage: Bacteria
Description: bacterial SSU rRNA
Rfam family: Bacterial small subunit ribosomal RNA
Source: RNAcentral
UAGGGAAUAUUGCACAAUGGAGGAAACUCUGAUGCAGCGACGCCGCGUGAGUGAUGAAGGCCUUCGGGUCGUAAAGCUCUGUCGCAGGGGAAUAACACAAUGAAGGUACCCUGUAAGAAAGGAUCGGCUAACUUCGUGCCAGCAGCCGCGGUAAGACGAGGGAUCCUAGCGUUGUUCGGAAUCAUUGGGCGUAAAGCGGGUGCAGGUGGCUAUGUAAGUCAGGUGUGAAAGCCUGGGGCUCAACCCCAGAAGUGCAUUUGAUACUGCGUAGCUUGAGUGCUAGAGAGGUUACUAGAAUUGUUGGUGUAGUGGUGAAAUACGUAGAUAUCAACAGGAAUACCGGUGGCGAAGGCGGGUAACUGGCUAGACACUGACACUCAGACCCGAAAGUGCGGGGAUCAAACAGG